Molecule: long non-coding RNA, 1715 nt
Filed under: Homo sapiens (human)
Lineage: Eukaryota; Metazoa; Chordata; Mammalia; Primates; Hominidae
Description: non-protein coding lnc-IMPG1-2:1
Source: RNAcentral
CCGGGGUCGCCCCGCCCGCGGCGCAGAGCCUCUGGGGCGAGGGUAGGCGCCCUGCAGCGCAGAGAGGGGCUGCCCCUGGACAAGCCGGGAGUUCUUGUUCUUCCCAUGGCGAAACGGCCUCUUUUGCCGCGGUAGUUGUUUCCAGUCCCGGCAAAGCAGGUCCUGUCCGGCUGGAUACUGUGACUGUGCAGUCUACCAACAGCGAGAAUCAGUUCAAGCAGGGAGAAAGUUGUUCGGAGAAGGGGCGAGGAGUCCGGGGCUCCGCGCGGGGGACCCAGGAACCAGGUGUCCGCGCUUGGGCGGCAGCGAGGCUGCGUGGCGGUUGCGGCAAGAACCACUGCUCACUCGGCCCCGGAUCGGGCCGGCUUGGACUGGGCUGCCCUGCAUAGGGGGGAACCUUCCCGCACAACUAAGUUGCCAUUCGGUCUUUGGAGGAGGGGGCUUGGGAUGGGAAUUUCGCACCCCUUUGCCUCUUCCCGCUCCUACCCUCGCCGACGCAUUUACUUUAUUUAGAGCCCCUACCUUCUCAGUCGUUUAAAUGUUACUGUUUUUAUUAGUGACAUACCUGUGAGUCACCUUUUAAAAUAUGAAGUACCUAUGCAAAUUUGAAUUAUAUGGUAAAAACACAUCACCUUUACAAUGAAAACAGCUUCUUUUAAGGCAACGAAAUAACAAUUGACUAUAAUGCUAAAUGUAUCCGCUGAAAAAAGCCUACUUGCACAUGAGAAUUACACGUUUUUCUGCAACAUUUAUAUGUAGCGACUUGGAAACUUCUGGAAAUCUAGAAGAUUCUGACGAGGAGACAAAUUUCUGAUACUUAAAGACUCCAUGGUUCUGUGGGUGGAGAAAUAAAAACUCUAAGUUCUGAUAAGAUGUUUUAGAAUUCAACUAAAACAAUAAAAUAUUAAGAGUAAAAUAGGGAAGUAAGAAAGAGGAAGAGAAACAAAGAAAGGAAAUAAUUUACAGCAAUCUCAGAAAUUUAAUUCCAAAUUGCCAGAAGGUAAGUCUUAAGUAUAUAAAACUAAAUUUCAAAACAAACUGAAAAAAAGAGGGAGAAGAUGAAGAUGGCUGUCUCAGUUCACACUGCUCUGACUCAAUUUUGGAUUUAAUACUAAACUUCAUUUGGCAAACCAAUAGAAGUCAAUACAUUUUUUUAAUUUUCUUAAUUUUUUUGUUGUUGGUAAACACAGGGGCUUGCUAUGUUGCCCAGGCUGGUCUUGAACUCUUGGCCUCAAGCAAUCCCUGCCCGCCCCCCUCCCUUGGCCUCCCAAAGUGCUGGGAUUACAAGUGUGAGUCACCACACCUAGAUAAAUCAAUACAUUUUAAAGAUUUUUUUGUAGCUAAUGACUUUCGUGAUUGUUUUCUCUCCUUUGCCCCACACUUCCAAUCCAUUACUGAGUGCUUUUGCUUCUGGCUCUAUAAUAUCUCUCUAAUGUAUCAAAUUCCUCUUUAUACCCACUACCACUAUCUUGUUUCAGGCCACUAUCAUUUCAAAUCUUGCAUACUGCCUAAGUCACCUAACCAGUUUCCCAGGCCGCAGUUUUAUCCCCUUCUAAUCCAGUCUUUACAACGUCAUCAGUUUGUCUUUUAUGUACUCCACUAUUUAAAUUUCUGUAAUGGCACUCUCUGACUCUUGAUAUAAAGUCCAAACCACUUAAAAUGUCUUGUAAGAUCCUUCUUGAUUUAGCCACCAGUCACAAACUGGCUGUUUUUGU